GAUGAACGCUGGCGGCGUGCCUAAUACAUGCAAGUCGAGCGAACGGACGAGAAGCUUGCUUCUCUGAUGUUAGCGGCGGACGGGUGAGUAACACGUGGAUAACCUACCUAUAAGACUGGGAUAACUUCGGGAAACCGGAGCUAAUACCGGAUAAUAUUUUGAACCGCAUGGUUCAAAAGUGAAAGACGGUCCUGCUGUCACUUAUAGAUGGAUCCGCGCUGCAUUAGCUAGUUGGUAAGGUAACGGCUUACCAAGGCAACGAUGCAUAGCCGACCUGAGAGGGUGAUCGGCCACACUGGAACUGAGACACGGUCCAGACUCCUACGGGAGGCAGCAGUAGGGAAUCUUCCGCAAUGGGCAAAAGCCUGACGGAGCAACGCCGCGUGAGUGAUGAAGGUCUUCGGAUCGUAAAACUCUGUUAUUAGGGAAGAACAUAUGUGUAAGUAACUGUGCACAUCUUGACGGUACCUAAUCAGAAAGCCACGGCUAACUACGUG
This 497-nucleotide ribosomal RNA is filed under the name uncultured bacterium. RNAcentral describes it as "partial 16S ribosomal RNA". It matches the Rfam family "Bacterial small subunit ribosomal RNA", at positions 28 to 507 of the family's 1533-position model. The record is from RNAcentral.